GUUCAAACUCACAAACUGAGAUCAUGACCUGAGCUGAAGUCAGAGUUUCUUAUUUUCAAAUUCCCAUUGUUUACAGCUGGUAAUAGGAAUACAACAGACUUACAUAUACUGAUGUUGUGUUCUGUAUCCUUGCUAAAUUCCUUUGUAAUUCCUGUUGUUUGUUGCAGGUCCUAUAGAUUUUAUAUAUAGAGAAUCAUAUCAUCUGCAUAUGUAGAUAAUAUUACUUUUUUGUUUCCAAUCUAUGUGUCUAUGCCUGAAUUGAGGUAAACCUGCUCUGAAGAGAGUAUGAAGUAGGCCAAAACAGCCAUGAAGGGUAAAAACAAAAACUUUCUAAUAGAAAAUGUAGGAAAUACCUUGUGACCUAGGAUAUAGAAGUCUUCUUAAAUACCAAUCCUUCCCCCUACCCAGCAUGAACCAUAACUCAGAAAAUAGAUUAGUAUUACUAUAUCAAAAUUAUGAAUUUAUUUUAAAAAGACAAUACAGACAAACUUAAUAGACAAAUGCUAUUUUGGAAAAGGAUACUUAUAAAGUCUAACACUGACAAGGGACUCAUCUUCUUAAGACUAUCCAAGAAAGUCCUACAAAUCAACAGAGAGCAAUUAGGGUGUCAGUUCAUGCAGAACAAAUUGCCCCAAAACAAUAAUAAGCACUUUUUGUCUCACUGUAGGUCAGGAAUUUGGGAGUGGCUUAGCUGUGUUUCUGGGUCAAGGUCUCACUGUUGCAGGAGUCAGCAAGUUGGCCGUGGUUGCAGGUGCUUGAAGGUUUGAUUGAACCUGGAGGAUCUCCUUCUAAGAUGACUCACUUGGCAGAUGACCAGCAGGGAACAUUUAGGAGGAUGCCAUCGCUUUAUCUGUGGUAUCAGGAGUUGGAAGCGAUCUAUUUUCAUUGGUGGGGUUACAAGAACAGCCGGGUGCCUGGGCUUCUGCAUACUGAACCAGCAAUUCACAUGAUCCUGAUGCAGGAGAUUCAUGGAUCACACGUUCAGAAGCCCUAAGAAACACUCUUUCCUGCUCUUGAUUGAGGAAUAACCUUUUCCUUUUUUAAUAAUUUGGUGGCUUCCUAAGAGGGAAAACUUAGAAGACACUCAUUUGGGCUUUUUGAAUAAAGAUCAUUUUCUUGA
Suricata suricatta (meerkat) is the source of this 1120-nucleotide long non-coding RNA. RefSeq lists it as uncharacterized. NCBI's taxonomy places the organism in Eukaryota, Metazoa, Chordata, Mammalia, Carnivora, Herpestidae. The record is from RefSeq and is a predicted model, not a curated record. The transcript is spliced from 3 exons.